UAAGGCCCAAUCGGCCUGGGUCCAAACUAAACAAAAAUAUGUCAGACCCAACAAAUAAGUGGCCCAAUACAGGCCCAAUAACCGAUUUGCAAACCCUAGCCCAGCAAAAAUUAAUUUGCUGAAACCCUAGCAGCCUCCUUGCCUCAGCGCCGCAAGCCCCAUCAGCCUCGACGCCUCCAGCAAGAGUCCAGACGCCGCACAAUUCGGAGAUCGUCCUCCCCACGCACGUCAUUCGCGCGCACGACGCCUGCAAAAAACAGAUUCAAAGAGUCCUGAAAGAAAAAACAACAAAGAAAACAAUUUGUAUUUAAUUUAUUUUCUUUCUUUCGGCCUAUAAAAGGCCUAUCAAGAUCUGUAAAAGGGGGGAUAGACACUAAGAAGAGAGAAAAUACAAGGGAGAAUAGAAACCAAAGCAGAAGGUGAUUUACCACUGUAGCGUUUUCUCUUGUUUUUAUUUCUACAAUUGAUUUUUUGUUAAUAUCUACUGUUUAUUCAAGGAAAAGAAAUAAAAGGGUAAGUUUACCUUAUAUUGGCGCCUUCGAUCCCUCAUCGCUCCGUUGCAAUCGGCGUUUGAGGGAGGUUUUGGCAUGGGAAACGGCGGCGCGAGGACGCUAGGGGUGAAACCCUAGCAGAGCAAAAGAGGGGUGUUUGUUUUUUUUCUUUUUUUCAUUCGGUUGUAAAUGAUUUUGAAAGAAAAUUUUGUUUCAAGUAACGCUACAAAAACGACGUCGUUUUUAAGGCCCUGACCCGCGCGGUGACCCUACCCGAAGGGGAGGAUCCGCGCGUCCUGACGUCAGAUGGGGAAUUUGUGCAUUUAACCCCUCCCUUUUGCAACGCAUGUCAAUUAAACCUUUUCCACUGGUUUUAAAAUUUGGGCCGCGUAUUCCAUUUUUAUUUCAAUUUGAUACCCCGUUGCGCAGCGUUUUGGAAGGGAAGGAAUUAUUUCCUUUUUAGUCCCCCAUUAUCGUACGCGUGUUCAAAUUUGGUUUUUUCUUACUUUAUUCAGUUUUUUUUAUUUUUUUAAUAUACUGUUACUCAUUUGUUAUUACUAUUAUCACUUAUUAUUAU
RNAcentral lists this long non-coding RNA (1068 nucleotides) under Gossypium raimondii (Peruvian cotton). Its description in RNAcentral is "long non-coding RNA (GRAI_LNC006082)". Lineage: Eukaryota; Viridiplantae; Streptophyta; Magnoliopsida; Malvales; Malvaceae. The record is from RNAcentral.